This 226-nucleotide long non-coding RNA is filed under the name Lathyrus oleraceus (garden pea). RNAcentral's name for it is "Pisum sativum (pea) long non-coding RNA (PSAT_LNC023909)". Lineage: Eukaryota; Viridiplantae; Streptophyta; Magnoliopsida; Fabales; Fabaceae. The record is from RNAcentral.
AGCGUGUGAUCUGCCAGCUCAAUUAAUGAGCUCAGAUCUAACGCUCCUCCUUUUUUUGCAUUUUCUAUUUUCUGAUUUUAUUUUCUUUAAUUCCUUUUAUUUCAAAAAAAUCAUAACUCUCUCAUUUUUUAUCCAAAAAUUAUGGGACCAAUUGCAUUAUUUCCCAAAUAAUUUCUAGUUUCUAUUUCUGAUUUUUAAUAUUUUUUAUUUUAUCAUUUGAUAUUUU